Long non-coding RNA from Eptesicus fuscus (big brown bat), 1578 nucleotides. RefSeq lists it as uncharacterized. The record is from RefSeq and is a predicted model, not a curated record. The transcript has 2 exons. Lineage: Eukaryota; Metazoa; Chordata; Mammalia; Chiroptera; Vespertilionidae.
CCGCGGGCAUGUGCACUUCCGCCCACGUGUUCACCGGCGGCCGGAAGUGAUGUCACGGGGCGCCGCGGGGGAAGCCGGGAAGACGGUUCGAGCUGCAUGUGAAGAGAGAGGUCUGCAAGAGUAUGUAUUUAUAUCCAUUUGCUCAAGCCUGGAAGUCUGUCUCCCUGGAAUCCCCUCUUGGUUUGACAAAUCACAUUCAGUCCUAACGGCUCACCUCAAGAGGCCCCUAUGGAAGUAUUUCUCCGUGCUACCUGGCGUGCAGUAUUCAUUGCCCCCUCCUCUGUGGUCUAAUGCCACUUUGUUCAAACUGCUGGUAUGGAAAUUAGAGAAAUAGUUAGCCCAUGUUUUACUAAAGGACAGCGAAAACUAUUCCAGAGUAUUAUGUCUAUGGUGAACUCCCUCAUUUCUUCUGGGAACAGGAGCACACACACCAUAGACAAUUGGUACAGGGAUGGACAGCUGGGCAAGUUGGGCCAUGAAGUCUUUGCCCAGCCUUUUGAAUUUCAAACUAUAAGGAAGUUAAGAAAGCUCCCCCCUCACCCCCAAGUGGUUGAAAGCUGAAAGAUAAUGGAUUUGUUGCCAGUCUGUAAUUAGAGAAGCAGAUUUAAGUCCCUGGUUCAGUGGUUUCUGUGUACAGCUAAAUCCCUCUUCCUACAAACCUGUCCAAUUAUUAACUCCAUGAGCCAAUAAAUUCUCCUUUUGCCCUUAGCUAUUUGGAGCUGAAUUCCUAUCCCUUGCAAAGGAAAAAGUAAAAACAAAACAAACAAACAAAAAACAGUAACAAGAUCUAAGGAGAUGGAUGCUAAAAUUGCUUUGCAUAAAAAAGGUUAAAAAAAAUUGGAAUUUUGGGCACUCAGAAAAGGGAAAGGUGAACGGUAGAAAGAAAAAGGAACGUGAAAGGGGGCAGGAUUGAUAAGGGUUAAAUGUUGUGACACCUUCCCCAACCCAAUGUUUCCAGUAAAUUCUACCAGACUCAGUUUUGGUGUGGGUUUUUUGUUGUAGAAAUCAGAAAAGAGCAUGUCUCAUGUUUGGGUCACUAUAGUCUAGAACCACAAGGUUGGCCAACAUAGCAGAACUCAAGAAACAGAAGAGGCCAGGAGAGUUUAUAAGCAUUGGAAAUAAACAGGAAUAUUGAAUGAACCAGGCUUUCAACUUCUGCAGGCUGGGUACCAGGAGGUUUUGAUACAUUUUUGCCUAGACCUCAAGGGGGCAGAGUAAGGCCCCCAGCUGAUAUCUGGACUUUAUUAAUAUGAAGGAUAAUAUUAAUAUAGACUGUAGAAACCAGCAUGUUUGUAAACAUUCAAAUUUAUUUUAAAGCCCUGUUAUUGUAAGUAUAGUGAUCUUUAAAAAAUAUUUGUCCACUAUUUGCUCUCUGGAUUACUAAGUGCAUCCUUGCUGUCAGUAUCCUUAUAAAAUUCUUUGUGAAUAACCUGAUGUGUUUUAAAUAAUUGUGAUGGUUAAUUUUAUGUGUCACACUUACUGGGCUACAGAGUGCUCAUAUACUUGUUCAAAUUUUUUUCUGGGUGUUUGCACAGGGAUGCUUUUAUUUGAAAUUAAAACAUUUUAAUGAGUAAAGCA